UACGUAGGGUGCAAGCGUUUAAUCGGAAUUACUGGGCGUAAAGCGUGCGCAGGCGGUUGUGCAAGACAGAUGUGAAAUCCCCCGGCUCAACCGGGGAACUGCGUCCGAUACUGGUGGGCUCGAAUCCGGGAGAGGGAUGUGGAAUUCCAGGUGUAGCGGUGAAAUGCGUAGAUAUCUGGAGGAACACCGGUGGCGAAGGCGGCAUCCUGGACCGGUAUUGACGCUGAGGCGCGAAAGCCAGGGGAGCAAACGGG
This 254-nucleotide ribosomal RNA is filed under the name uncultured bacterium. Its description in RNAcentral is "partial 16S ribosomal RNA". It matches the Rfam family "Bacterial small subunit ribosomal RNA", at positions 524 to 776 of the family's 1533-position model. The record is from RNAcentral.